UACGUAGGUGGCAAGCGUUGUCCGGAUUUAUUGGGUUUAAAGGGUGCGUAGGCGGUCUUUUAAGUCAGUGCUGAAAUAUCCCGGCUUAACCGGGAGGGUGGCAUUGAUACUGAAGGACUUGAGUAAAGUUGAGGUUGGCGGAAUUGACGGUGUAGCGGUGAAAUGCUUAGAUAUGCGGAAGAACACCAGUGGCGAAGGCGGUCAACUGGCCUCAUAUUGACACUCAGACGCGAAGGCAUGGGUAGCGAACGGG
RNAcentral lists this ribosomal RNA (253 nucleotides) under uncultured bacterium. RNAcentral's name for it is "partial 16S ribosomal RNA". It matches the Rfam family "Bacterial small subunit ribosomal RNA", at positions 524 to 776 of the family's 1533-position model. The record is from RNAcentral.